UAGGGGAUCUUCCGCAAUGGACGAAAGUCUGACGGAGCAACGCCGCGUGAGUGAUGAAGGUUUUCGGAUCGUAAAACUCUGUUGUUAGGGAAGAACAAGUACCGUUCGAAUAGGGCGGCACCUUGACGGUACCUAACCAGAAAGCCACGGCUAACUACGGG
Molecule: ribosomal RNA, 161 nt
Filed under: Uncultured bacterium HZ_22I
Lineage: Bacteria
Description: partial 16S ribosomal RNA
Rfam family: Bacterial small subunit ribosomal RNA
Source: RNAcentral